AUACGUAGGUGGCAAGCGUUGUCCGGAUUUACUGGGUGUAAAGGGCGCGUAGGCGGGGAUGCAAGUCAGGUGUGAAAUCUAUGGGCUUAACCCAUAAACUGCACUUGAAACUGUAUUUCUUGAGUGUCGGAGAGGUAGAUGGAAUUCCUAGUGUAGCGGUGAAAUGCGUAGAUAUUAGGAGGAACACCAGUGGCGAAGGCGAUCUACUGGACGAUAACUGACGCUGAGGCGCGAAAGCGGUGGGGAGC
RNAcentral lists this ribosomal RNA (248 nucleotides) under uncultured bacterium. RNAcentral describes it as "partial 16S ribosomal RNA". It matches the Rfam family "Bacterial small subunit ribosomal RNA", at positions 523 to 769 of the family's 1533-position model. The record is from RNAcentral.